CAAAGGCCCCAUCCGCUGUGA
Molecule: unclassified non-coding RNA, 21 nt
Filed under: Mus musculus (house mouse)
Lineage: Eukaryota; Metazoa; Chordata; Mammalia; Rodentia; Muridae
Description: oocyte_clustered_small_RNA11670
Source: RNAcentral